GAUGAACGCUGGCGGCGUGCCUAAUACAUGCAAGUCGAGCGAACAGACGAGGAGCUUGCUCCUCUGACGUUAGCGGCGGACGGGUGAGUAACACGUGGAUAACCUACCUAUAAGACUGGGAUAACUUCGGGAAACCGGAGCUAAUACCGGAUAAUAUAUUGAACCGCAUGGUUCAAUAGUGAAAGACGGUUUUGCUGUCACUUAUAGAUGGAUCCGCGCCGCAUUAGCUAGUUGGUAAGGUAACGGCUUACCAAGGCAACGAUGCGUAGCCGACCUGAGAGGGGGUCGGCCCCCAGGGGACUUGAACCACGGCCCAGACCCCUAGGGGGGGCAGCGGGAGGGAAUCUUCGGAAAGGGGGGAAAGUUUGCGGGAGAAACGGCGGGGGGGUGAAGAAGGGCUUGGGGCGGGAAAACGCUGUUAUAGGGGAAAAACAAUUUUGAAAGUAACGAUGCGGGUCUUGCGGGAACCGAUAAAGAAAGCCCGGGCAAAUACGGG
This 496-nucleotide ribosomal RNA is filed under the name uncultured bacterium. Its description in RNAcentral is "partial 16S ribosomal RNA". It matches the Rfam family "Bacterial small subunit ribosomal RNA", at positions 28 to 507 of the family's 1533-position model. The record is from RNAcentral.